CUCACUCGCCCUCUUCUCACGGCUCUCUGCGACACUCGCCACCGUACCGAAAAGCAAGAGAGGGAGAGAUUUCAGCAUCGAGCUUAGCACACACGCACAUACACACACAUAUAUAUAUAUAUAUAUCCAUAAGGGUCUCUGCCUUGCGAUACCCCCUCCUCCUCCUCCAGCACAGUCAUUCCGCAGCUCCGCAACGUACCCUUGGCAAACGUGUCCAGCGUAUACCUUGGCGCUCACCGCAACACCGCGUCGCCUGCGGGAGGUCCCCCUUUCUCUCCCCCGCAGCUGAGUGGGUGCAAAGACUGGGAAAGUCGCCACCCGCAAGCGAGACCUUCACUUUAUCGCCCAUCCGUGUAUCUGCGCCUUUGCGGCCUCUCUCAUUUCCCCACAGAACAUGUAAGCGAGCCAUAGCGGUGACCGACACAACCUAAUUUGCUAAGCCUAAGAGACGCAGCAAGUCACUCACCACGCUCCUUGUGCCCGCAGAUGCCACCGCGCCAUCGAAUGCCUCGCCCUUCGCCCGGUGAGCUGGAAGAUGCCGUUCGCCCCUACGAAAAGCUCGUGAUUGGCCUCCCCACCGCCAUGGAGGGGUGGCGGCGUGCGUACGGGACAGUCAGAGAGUGGUGCAAGCUAGCACCCAACCCGCUCCUCUGCAGCCCUGCCAACAUCCUUGGCGAGGAAAGCGGCAACGAUCGCAGUCGUGCACUGGCGCUGCCGUCCCGCUCCACAUCGGGGCAUCCCGGCGACGCCACGGCUCGCCCUCCUCCAUUGAACGAGCCACACACGAAUGCGCAGCGCUUUCCUCAAACAAGCGCCGCUCCAGCAGCCAGAAAGGAUGACGCCCUGUACUGCGACGCCUGUCAGCGAGAGUUUGCCACACAGGAAAAGUACGAGGCACACAUGGACACGCAUAUGUACUGCACUGUUGCCGGAUGCCGUUUCACCUGCCGCAAGGGCAAGCCUUGGCGGAUGGAGGAGCACAUAGAGCUGCUGCACAACCGCCCCGAUGCGCCGAACCUGGUGGACAUGAACGCUUACCUCGAGCAGCGCAAGCGCCGCUUCCCCACGCAGGACGCCGUGAAGAUGAAGGUAGAGGAGCUCUACUACAAGGCAGCGCGAGGCGUCGUGCUGCCCGAUGAGCGGCGACGGUGGAUGCAGCAGCAUGGUAUUGUUAUUCGCAAGCGGCCUCGCACGGAGGAGUCUGUGAUUAUACGCGGCGGACUGCCGGCCGGGUCACAUUCUCCAUCGGCAGCGUCGUCUGCAUCUGCGUCGUCGUCCCGGUCGUCGCGCUCGUCGUCUGAGCACCGCCAAAGGCGCUCUUCCCACCGAAACCCGUGCGAACCUUCGCAGCCGCCGGCGCCAUCUCUCGCAAGCGACGCGGAGGGCGGGCAAGCUCGCUUCAUUCAGCCGCCGUCCGUCUCAUCUUACCAGGAGUCCGACCCCACGGCCGCACCGAUUAAGGCCUCUAACACGUCUCCACAAGGAUCACGGACAGGGGACCAGAGCACCGAUGCUGUUGGUACCACGGCGACUGCCGUGCCUUUGGCAAAGCAGUCGUCUCCCUCGCCGGCUUCGUCGGCUGGUGCCCACGCCGCGCGAGCACAUCCCACGAAGAUAAUCCCUCUUGGCCCCAACGGCACCCUUACCCCGCGGCAACGCGUGCAGCUCGUGCGCGAGCGCUACGCUGCUGCAAAGGAUGUUCCGCAGUUUUACGUCUGCCACCGCUGCGGCAUCAAGGGUGAUCACUGGGUGUCCGACUGCCCGACGAAAGGCGACAACACGUAUGAUCGGCAUGUCGUGUGGGGCGAGGCAAAGUUGUCUGCGUUGGAGAAGGGCGCCAAGCCGCAUCGUGAGAGGGCGGAAAAAGACAACAAUGGGCCAGAGCAGCCGGGGCCCGGUGAUGCUCCGCAGCAAGAGGCGCCAGAGACCACGGCGCCAAGCGACAGCGGUGCCGAGCAAGCUGUAGCUGAGCAGGUGCAUGGCGUUGCGCCAACGCACCCCUUGCCCAGCGAACUCCGCGGGGCGGCGCCUGUCGCGCCUCAAGAGGAACUGAGCGCUAACGCCACACCGCCGUCGGAGGGCCACGCAACACCAGUGGCCGAUGCCCCGAAGGAUCAAAGCAGCGAAGACAUGCCACCGUUGCCGCAGCCUGCAGCGCCGCUGGCUGAUGCGCCGAGGGAGGUGACUCGCAUGAUGGCCCCUGUCGCGGCAGCGAGGUACGCGCAGCCGCACCGCCGCGACCCCGCCCGCCGCCCGCCUCCGCCGCCGACGCUGUACGAGCGACUCACAGAGGAGGCGAGGAUGGAUGAGCAGGGAGUGCUGCUGCAGGCGUUGCGCUUCUUCGUCGCUCGCGACUUCUUUGAAGACCACCCGAAGCCAUGAGAGUCUGGAGGUGGUUUCGAAGACCGCCACUGCGCUGCGGAGGAGGAGGUAUCCGAAUGGUCGAGGCCGCCGCGCGGAGUAUGCGCAUGACUAACUUCAGAAAGGCAGACGCGGCUGAGAUCGUCGAAGUUGUCGCGCAGCUCCUCCAAUACGCCGCGUUGUUGCCCUGGUAGUGACAGUGCCAACGGAGGAGGGCGGCAGAAGUCGGUGGUGGUGGCAUGCGGGCCGCCGUUUGGUUGCACGCGCGCGCUUAACAAAGAACGGAUGCGAUGCUCUUGUUGCUAAGUGGUGCGACGUGUUUUGUGCCCUCGCCCCGUACCACGGGAUGCCGCCCAAUAGGCUCCCAUAUUGCCCAAGGCACUGUAUUGGUCGUGGGUGGGUGGGGGACGGAGCGAAGGGCUCAACACACGGUUUCUUGUUCGGCACCCGCGCAUGCGGAUUCGCGUAAUAAGGUGCAGUUGCGUACACCGACCCUCGCAUACAUCCAGUGUGUACUGCGAGACGGAGAGUCCCUCUCCCCAGCACACAGGGGGGGGAGGAGGAGAACAGAAGGACAGCGCGGGAACCGUCAGAGCGAGCGAGCGCAAGCAGUGAGGACACCCAUCACUGCUUGCAGGAGAGAAAGCGAAGGUAAAGCGAGGGAAGUAGUCUUGUGCAGCCGUCGCCGCUACAGGCGUCGUGCGGUUGAGUUAGGCGGCGUGGCAAGGGCACUGUAUAGACCCCGUUUCUCAAGCGAACCGCCACCGUUUGGGCAGGGAAAGGGAGAGGAGCUUCUGCCUGCUGUGUUCUUCAUGUGCGCGUCUGCAUCCGACAUGUCUCAUGUAAUGCAGGCGACUCUCGCUUCGCCCGCUUUAAGAAGUGCCACCGUCCCCUCCCCCGCCUUCUAGGCAACAAUAGGAGAAUCUUUCAUCUUACUGACUGCAUCUGUCUGGGCAAGCCCAGCAGACUCAAGUCGACCGCCCCCCCCCCUUGAGACCUCCAGAGGCACCUUCAGUAAGUGUUUCUCUCUCUCGACAUGUUGUGGUGUUGUCUG
Molecule: unclassified non-coding RNA, 3415 nt
Filed under: Leishmania donovani
Lineage: Eukaryota; Euglenozoa; Kinetoplastea; Trypanosomatida; Trypanosomatidae
Description: gene:LdHU3.29.0860(CDS-product:Zinc-finger_double -stranded_RNA-binding_putative)
Source: RNAcentral